UAACUCCUCAAAAAUCUUCAAAAUUGGAAGGGGGAUUCAGCUCAAACCCGAUGCAUGAACCCUAAUAUAUGAUCAUCAAGGCUUGCUGAACAUGUGGAAUCAUGUCAAGAUGGAUGGGAGCGUUGAAGUCCAACGGGCUAAGAAGACUCAAUCAAGUAAGCGAACGCAAAUACGGACGCGCAAGGUAAAUCUAUUGCUUGAUGCGGCGCACCCGGACCGAGCACACACGACGUUGACCUUAAUACGCUUCCGGUUCAAGUUGUUUCUUUUGAAUGGUCGAAACGUCCUUUUGUGUAGGAAAUGUUAAACUAGUUAUUAGGAUGAUGGUAGUAGUUUGAGGUUAAACUUUAUUUUGAUUAGUGUCAUAGAAUGUAUCUUGAA
Long non-coding RNA from Helianthus annuus (common sunflower), 381 nucleotides. RefSeq lists it as uncharacterized. NCBI's taxonomy places the organism in Eukaryota, Viridiplantae, Streptophyta, Magnoliopsida, Asterales, Asteraceae. The record is from RefSeq and is a predicted model, not a curated record. The transcript has 3 exons.